This 511-nucleotide ribosomal RNA is filed under the name uncultured bacterium. RNAcentral's name for it is "bacterial SSU rRNA". It matches the Rfam family "Bacterial small subunit ribosomal RNA", at positions 335 to 803 of the family's 1533-position model. The record is from RNAcentral.
ACUCCUACGGGAGGCAGCAGUGGGGAAUAUUGCACAAUGGGCGCAAGCCUGAUGCAGCCAUGCCGCGUGUAAUUGGAAGAAGGCCUUCGGGUUGUAAAGUUACUUUCAGCAAGUGAGGAAGGUGGGGGUUAAUUGUUAAAAUAGCCAUUAACCUUCCAAUUUUGGACCGUUUUAAGGCUGCAGGAAAAGGAAAGCCNCCGGGCUAACUCCGUGCCAGCAGCCGCGGUAAUACGGAGGGUGCGAGCGUUAAUCGGAAUUACUGGGCGUAAAGCGCAUGCAGGUGGUUUGUUAAGUCAGAUGUGAAAGCCCGGGGCUCAACCUCGGAAUUGCAUUUGAAACUGGCAAAACUAGAGUACUGUAGAGGGGGGGUAGAAUUUCAGGUGUAGCGGUGAAAAUGCGUAGAGAUCUGAAGGAAUACCGGUGGCGAAGGCGGCCCCCUGGACAGAUACUGACACUCAGAUGCGAAAAGCGUGGGGAGCAAACAGGAUUAGAUACCCUGGUAGCUACGAGU